UGGGGAAUUUUGGACAAUGGGCGAAAGCCUGAUCCAGCAAUGCCGCGUGUGUGAAGAAGGCCUUCGGGUUGUAAAGCACUUUUGUCCGGAAAGAAAUCCUUGGCUCUAAUACAGUCGGGGGAUGACGGUACCGGAAGAAUAAGCACCGGCUAACUACGUGCCAGCAGCCGCGGUAAUACGUAGGGUGCAAGCGUUAAUCGGAAUUACUGGGCGUAAAGCGUGCGCAGGCGGUUUGCUAAGACCGAUGUGAAAUCCCCGGGCUCAACCUGGGAACUGCAUUGGUGACUGGCAGGCUAGAGUAUGGCAGAGGGGGGUAGAAUUCCACGUGUAGCAGUGAAAUGCGUAGAGAUGUGGAGGAAUACCGAUGGCGAAGGCAGCCCCCUGGGCCAAUACUGACGCUCAUGCACGAAAGCGUGGGGAGCAAAACAGGAUUAGAUACCCUGGUAGUCCACGCCCUAAAACGAUGUCAACUAGUUGUUGGGGAUUCAUUUCCUUAGUAACGUAGCUAACGCGUGAAGUUGACCGCCUGGGGAGUAUGGUCGCAAGAUUAAAACUCAAAUGAAUUGACGGGGUCAUAGCUGUUUCCU
RNAcentral lists this ribosomal RNA (587 nucleotides) under uncultured bacterium. RNAcentral's name for it is "partial 16S ribosomal RNA". It matches the Rfam family "Bacterial small subunit ribosomal RNA", at positions 355 to 1375 of the family's 1533-position model. The record is from RNAcentral.